Molecule: ribosomal RNA, 282 nt
Filed under: Triticum aestivum (bread wheat)
Lineage: Eukaryota; Viridiplantae; Streptophyta; Magnoliopsida; Poales; Poaceae
Source: RNAcentral
AUGGGAACUCUCGGCUCGAAACAAUCCUUAUGGUUUUUAUAUCCGGUUAGAAUAAUAAGAAAGAAUCAAAGUCCAGGUUGGUUGGUGAGCCUAGUGAUAGGAGACUAUCUAGCUUGGUUCGGAGAGCACUUGUUGGGUUUCAGAUUCGUUUUUGCUAAAUGUUACGGCCUAAAUGCUGAACUAUUGACCCAACUUGUUCGGAUGGGUGUUCACCCCAAAGUAUUCCCGGACUGCAUGCAUACAUCCAUAAGUAACUUAGUGCAACAUGGCAAAUUUCAUUGA